AUCUCUGGCCAAACCACCUUCAGUGCACCUGACCACAUCUGAGCUUGAAAGACAGGCAGGACAAGACUUGGUUAGUACUUCGAUGGGAGAUCGUCCGGGAAUGCCAGAUGCUGAGAGCUU
RNAcentral lists this ribosomal RNA (120 nucleotides) under Chinchilla lanigera (long-tailed chinchilla). The record is from RNAcentral. Lineage: Eukaryota; Metazoa; Chordata; Mammalia; Rodentia; Chinchillidae.